This 468-nucleotide ribosomal RNA is filed under the name uncultured bacterium. RNAcentral describes it as "partial 16S ribosomal RNA". It matches the Rfam family "Bacterial small subunit ribosomal RNA", at positions 28 to 507 of the family's 1533-position model. The record is from RNAcentral.
GACGAACGCUGGCGGCGUGCUUAACACAUGCAAGUCGAACGGAAAGGCCCUGCUUUUGUUGGGUGCUCGAGUGGCGAACGGGUGAGUAACACGUGAGUAACCUUCCCUUGACUUUGGGAUAACUUCAGGAAACUGGGGCUAAUACCGGAUAGGAGCUCCUGCUGCAUGGUGGGGGUUGGAAAGUUUCGGCGGUUGGGGAUGGACUCGCGGCUUAUCAGCUUGUUGUUGGGGUAGUGGCUUACCAAGGCUUUGACGGGUAGCCGGCCUGAGAGGGUGACCGGCAACAUUGGGACUGGGAUACGGCCCAGACUCCUACGGGAGGCAGCAGUGGGGAAUAUUGCACAAUGGGCGGAAGCCUGAUGCAGCAACGCCGCGUGCGGGAUGACGGCCUUCGGGUUGUAAACCGCUUUCGCCUGUGACGAAGCGUGAGUGACGGUAAUUGGUAAAGAAGCACCGGCUAACUACGUG